RNAcentral lists this ribosomal RNA (499 nucleotides) under uncultured bacterium. RNAcentral describes it as "bacterial SSU rRNA". It matches the Rfam family "Bacterial small subunit ribosomal RNA", at positions 17 to 518 of the family's 1533-position model. The record is from RNAcentral.
UCCUGGCUCAGGAUGAACGCUGGCGGCGUGCCUAACACAUGCAAGUCGAGCGUGAACCCUUAGAAUGAAACUCGGUCGAAUGAAGAGGGGGAAGCGGCGGACGGGUGAGUAACGCGUAGGCAACCUGCCCCGUACAGAGGGAUAGACCUCGGGAAACCGGGAUUAAAACCUCAUAAUACCAUGGUAUCACAUGAUGCAAUGGUCAAAGAUUUAUCGGUAUGGGAUGGGCCUGCGUCUGAUUAGCUGGUUGGUGGGGUAACGGCCUACCAAGGCAACGAUCAGUAGCCGACCUGAGAGGGUAAUCGGCCACAUUGGAACUGAGACACGGUCCAAACUCCUACGGGAGGCAGCAGUGGGGAAUAUUGCACAAUGGGCGAAAGCCUGAUGCAGCAACGCCGCGUGAGCGAAGAAGGCCUUUGGGUCGUAAAGCUCUGUCGGGAAGGAAGAUAAUGACGGUACUUCCCGAGGAAGCCCCGGCUAACUACGUGCCAGCCGCCGC